This is a long non-coding RNA of Alnus glutinosa, 811 nucleotides long. RefSeq lists it as uncharacterized. NCBI's taxonomy places the organism in Eukaryota, Viridiplantae, Streptophyta, Magnoliopsida, Fagales, Betulaceae. The transcript is spliced from 2 exons. The record is from RefSeq and is a predicted model, not a curated record.
UUGUUUGUCCGGAUAACACAGAGAGGGAGAGAGGGAGAGAGUAGGAGAGUCUGAGAGAGACACUGACUGAGACCCAAGCCUUCCUCUUUCCUCGUUCUUUUUCUUCUCUUCUCUUUCCUUCUUCUUGUUUUCUUCUUUCUCUGUUUCGUUCAAGAGACACAGAGACUAUGAGAGAGGGAGAGAGUGAAAUUGAAGGAGAGUGAGAGAAAGAGAGACCGAAACACUGAGAGGGAGAGAACCGGAGAUGACCCGUGACCCGACGAACCCAGAGAAGCCAUUACCCGAACCUCUUCUUUCCCUUUCCGUGCUUCUUCUUCUUUCCUCCUUGUCUAGCCGAAACAGAGAGAAGAGAGAUCAGGAGAGCAGAGAGGGGGAGAGAGUACCGUCGGAGAUGAGACCCAGACCCGAUCCUCCACGGGUCGUCUCCGGUGAACCUAAACUAAGGACGAUUUCCGGUGAGACAGUGGUGCUUAUUGCUGGGUCGACGGAAGAGAUGAUUUCCGGUGGAUUUUCAGUGUUGAACGAAAAUCCUCUAAUAUGAGGAGAAAGAGUACCCGGAUUACCCAAAUCCUUAGGUGGAUCCUGUUGACAAUAUUUGACGCUAACUUGCCUCCAUUUUGUGGACUGCUGUGUUCCAGUCCUUUAUUACAUUAUCUUGAGAACGAUAUUUAUAUUUUUAUUGGUGUGUAUUAGCUAUACUCUAGUUAUUUUGGCUUGUAAAUUAUAUGUGCCUUAUGUGGCAUAAAUACUAUCUUAUGUAUAAUUAUUCAGUUACACUUUAUAUAUCUAUGUUGAAGUAUUUCAGUUAGAA